CGCGCAAGUGUGCCAAGGUAAGUCCGCGUGCUUUCCGUUAAAAAAGCCUUUGGCCAAUUUAAAAAUUUCUGCGAAUUAAGGGGGGGUCAAACCAGGGGCCACCCGCCGGGGAAGGCCCACGGCCCCAAUUGGGACCAACUUUAUUGGGUCCUAAACCUUCCUAACUCGGUUAAUAAAUUCCCCGUGAAAUUCCAUCUCUUAAAUGUAUGGGGUGCCGGAAAUACUGUCUCGGUUGAGACUAGUAACGUCAGAAGUAUGUUCAGAGUAGCGGUAAAAUGUGUUAAUCCUGGACAGACUAACAACAGCGAAGGCAUCUUACGAGAACAGUUCUGACAGUAAGGGAUGAAGGCUAGGGGCGCAAAACGGAUUAAAUACCCGUGUAGUCCUAGCAGUAAACACUGCACACUAAACAUUAGUACCUCCUCAGAGGCAUUAGUGCUGAAGGGAAGCCGAAAAGUGUGCUACCUGGGGAGUAUAAUCGCAAGAUCGAAACUUAAAGGAAUUGGCG
This 508-nucleotide ribosomal RNA is filed under the name uncultured prokaryote. RNAcentral describes it as "bacterial SSU rRNA". It matches the Rfam family "Archaeal small subunit ribosomal RNA", at positions 358 to 870 of the family's 1478-position model. The record is from RNAcentral.